GACGAACGCUGGCGGCGUGCCUAAUACAUGCAAGUUGAGCGCUGAAGGUUGGUACUUGUACCAACUGGAUGAGCAGCGAACGGGUGAGUAACGCGUGGGGAAUCUGCCUUUGAGCGGGGGACAACAUUUGGAAACGAAUGCUAAUACCGCAUAAAAACUUUAAACACAAGUUUUAAGUUUGAAAGAUGCAAUUGCAUCACUCAAAGAUGAUCCCGCGUUGUAUUAGCUAGUUGGUGAGGUAAAGGCUCACCAAGGCGAUGAUACAUAGCCGACCUGAGAGGGUGAUCGGCCACAUUGGGACUGGGACACGGCCCAAACUCCUACGGGAGGCAGCAGUAGGGAAUCUUCGGCAAUGGACGAAAGUCUGACCGAGCAACGCCGCGUGAGUGAAGAAGGUUUUCGGAUCGUAAAACUCUGUUGGUAGAGAAGAACGUUUGUGAGAGUGGAAAGCUCAUCAAGUGACGGUAACUACCCAGAAAGGGACGGCUAACUACGUG
This 497-nucleotide ribosomal RNA is filed under the name uncultured bacterium. RNAcentral's name for it is "partial 16S ribosomal RNA". It matches the Rfam family "Bacterial small subunit ribosomal RNA", at positions 28 to 507 of the family's 1533-position model. The record is from RNAcentral.